AUUGAACGCUGGCGGCAUGCCUUACACAUGCAAGUCGAACGGCAGCGGACCUUCGGGUGCCGGCGAGUGGCGAACGGGUGAGUAAUAUAUCGGAACGUACCUUUCAGUGGGGGAUAACGUAGCGAAGUUACGCUAAUACCGCAUAUUCUGUGAGCAGGAAAGCAGGGGAUCGCAAGACCUUGCGCUGAUUGAGCGGCCGAUAUCAGAUUAGCUAGUUGGUGAGGUAAAGGCUCACCAAGGCGACGAUCUGUAGCGGGUCUGAGAGGAUGAUCCGCCACACUGGAACUGAGACACGGUCCAGACUCCUACGGGA
RNAcentral lists this ribosomal RNA (313 nucleotides) under uncultured bacterium. Its description in RNAcentral is "bacterial SSU rRNA". It matches the Rfam family "Bacterial small subunit ribosomal RNA", at positions 30 to 346 of the family's 1533-position model. The record is from RNAcentral.